UUAGGCUAUGUUGGCCGGGCGACGGUUGUCCCGGUUUAAGCGUGUAGGCUGGUUUUCCAGGCAAAUCCGGAAAAUCAAGGCUGAGGCGUGAUGACGAGGCACUACGGUGCUGAAGCAACAAAUGCCCUGCUUCCAGGAAAAGCCUCUAAGCAUCAGGUAACAUCAAAUCGUACCCCAAACCGACACAGGUGGUCAGGUAGAGAAUACCAAGGCGCUUGAGAGAACUCGGGUGAAGGAACUAGGCAACAUGGUGCCGUAACUUCGGGAGAAGGCACGCUGAUAUGUAGGUGAAGCGACCUGCUCGUGGAGCUGAAAUCAGUCGAAGAUACCAGCUGGCUGCAACUGUUUAUUAAAAACACAGCACUGUGCAAACACGAAAGUGGACGUAUACGGUGUGACGCCUCCCCGGUGCCGGAAGGUUAAUUGAUGGGGUUAGCGCAAGCGAAGCUCUUGAUCGAAGCCCCGGUAAACGGCGGCCGUAACUAUAACGGUCCUAAGGUAGCGAAAUUCCUUGUCGGGUAAGUUCCGACCUGCACGAAUGGCGUAAUGAUGGCCAGGCUGUCUCCACCCGAGACUCAGUGAAAUUGAACUCGCUGUGAAGAUGCAGUGUACCCGCGGCAAGACGGAAAGACCCCGUGAACCUUUACUAUAGCUUGACACUGAACAUUGAGCCUUGAUGUGUAGGAUAGGUGGGAGGCUUGAAGUGUGGACGCCAGUCUGCACGGAGCCGACCUUGAAAUACCACCCUUUAAUGUUUGAUGUUCUAACGUUGACCCGUAAUCCGGGUUGCGGACAGUGUCUGGUGGGUAGUUUGACUGGGGCGGUCUCCUCCUAAAGAGUAACGGAGGAGCACGAAGGUUGGCUAAUCCUGGUCGGACAUCAGGAGGUUAGUGCAAUGGCAUAAGCCAGCUUGACUGCGAGCGUGACGGCGCGAGCAGGUGCGAAAGCAGGUCAUAGUGAUCCGGUGGUUCUGAAUGGAAGGGCCAUCGCUCAACGGAUAGAAGGUACUCCGGGGAUAACAGGCUGAUACCGCCCAAGAGUUCAUAUCGACGGCGGUGUUUGGCACCUCGAUGUCGGCUCAUCACAUCCUGGGGCUGAAGUAGGUCCCAAGGGUAUGGCUGUUCGCCAUUUAAAGUGGUACGCGAGCUGGGUUUAGAACGUCGUGAGACAGUUCGGUCCCUAUCUGCCGUGGGCGCUGGAGAACUGAGGGGGGCUGCUCCUAGUACGAGAGGACCGGAGUGGACGCAUCACUGGUGUUCGGGUUGUCAUGCCAAUGGCACUGCCCGGUAGCUAAAUGCGGAAGAGAUAAGUGCUGAAAGCAUCUAAGCACGAAACUUGCCCCGAGAUGAGUUCUCCCUGACUCCUUGAGAGUCCUGAAGGAACGUUGAAGACGACGACGUUGAUAGGCCGGGUGUGUAAGCGCAGCGAUGCGUUGAGCUAACCGGUACUAAUGAACC
This 1457-nucleotide ribosomal RNA is filed under the name metagenome. RNAcentral describes it as "bacterial LSU rRNA". It matches the Rfam family "Bacterial large subunit ribosomal RNA", at positions 1477 to 2910 of the family's 2925-position model. The record is from RNAcentral.